GAUGAACGCUGGCUACAGGCUUAACACAUGCAAGUCGAGGGGAAACGACGGGGAAGCUUGCUUCCCCGGGCGUCGACCGGCGCACGGGUGAGUAACGCGUAUCCAACCUGCCUCUGACUGAGGGAUAACCCGUCGAAAGUCGGCCCAAUACCUCAUGGCAUCGUCUGCGGGCAUCCAACGAGGAUUAAACAUUUCAUCGGUCAGAGACGGGGUUGCUUCUGUUUGGCUUGUUGGCGGGUUACCGGCCCACCAAGGCGGCGAUCAGUAGGGGUUGUGAGAGGAAGGUCCCCCACAUUGGAACUGAGACACGGUCCAAACUCCUACGGGAGGCAGCAGUGAGGAAUAUUGGUCAAUGGGCGAGAGCCUGAACCAGCCAAGUAGCGUGCAGGAUGACGGCCCUAUGGGUUGUAAACUGCUUUUAUGCGAGGAUAAAGUGAGGGACGUGUCCUUCAUUGCAGGUACCGCAUGAAUAAGGACCGGCUAAUUCCGUG
RNAcentral lists this ribosomal RNA (491 nucleotides) under uncultured bacterium. RNAcentral describes it as "partial 16S ribosomal RNA". It matches the Rfam family "Bacterial small subunit ribosomal RNA", at positions 28 to 507 of the family's 1533-position model. The record is from RNAcentral.